RNAcentral lists this long non-coding RNA (347 nucleotides) under Phoenix dactylifera (date palm). Its description in RNAcentral is "long non-coding RNA (PDAC_LNC016707)". The record is from RNAcentral. Lineage: Eukaryota; Viridiplantae; Streptophyta; Magnoliopsida; Arecales; Arecaceae.
CCUGGUUGCUGGCCGCGAACCGGGACUGCUGCCGACAAACCCAACGCGAGGAAGAAUCCUAUCAUGGCCAUUGCUUUCUUUUCCGUUCCAAGCUCCCAAGGAGAGACUAUUAAAUAAUUGUGGUGCCGACGGGUUUUAGACGGAUAAGUUGUCCUUCGGAGACUAUGGCUUCUCGAGAGAAGCCGCGUUAGAUGAAAGUCUCCAUUUGAACAGGUCCCAUCUCCAUCUUGCUUACCCAAAGUGAACAAAUUAUUCAGUUGCCUUCCGUUCUGUAACCAUUUAUCGGACGGGGAGAAGAUUUACUUCUUUGAUUUUGAGGCUAGAAGCUUCCCCCUCGAAAAAGACAU